This 780-nucleotide ribosomal RNA is filed under the name Bacillus subtilis. RNAcentral describes it as "bacterial SSU rRNA". It matches the Rfam family "Bacterial small subunit ribosomal RNA", at positions 35 to 797 of the family's 1533-position model. Lineage: Bacteria; Bacillati; Bacillota; Bacilli; Caryophanales; Bacillaceae. The record is from RNAcentral.
AUUGGGGGCGUGCUAUAAUGCAAGUCGAGCGAAUGGAUUAAGAGCUUGCUCUUAUGAAGUUAGCGGCGGACGGGUGAGAAACACGUGGGUAACCUGCCCAUAAGACUGGGAUAACUCCGGGAAACCGGGGCUAAUACCGGAUAACAUUUUGAACCGCAUGGUUCGAAAUUGAAAGGCGGCUUCGGCUGUCACUUAUGGAUGGACCCGCGUCGCAUUAGCUAGUUGGUGAGGUAACGGCUCACCAAGGCAACGAUGCGUAGCCGACCUGAGAGGGUGAUCGGCCACACUGGGACUGAGACACGGCCCAGACUCCUACGGGAGGCAGCAGUAGGGAAUCUUCCGCAAUGGACGAAAGUCUGACGGAGCAACGCCGCGUGAGUGAUGAAGGCUUUCGGGUCGUAAAACUCUGUUGUUAGGGAAGAACAAGUGCUAGUUGAAUAAGCUGGCACCUUGACGGUACCUAACCAGAAAGCCACGGCUAACUACGUGCCAGCAGCCGCGGUAAUACGUAGGUGGCAAGCGUUAUCCGGAAUUAUUGGGCGUAAAGCGCGCGCAGGUGGUUUCUUAAGUCUGAUGUGAAAGCCCACGGCUCAACCGUGGAGGGUCAUUGGAAACUGGGAGACUUGAGUGCAGAAGAGGAAAGUGGAAUUCCAUGUGUAGCGGUGAAAUGCGUAGAGAUAUGGAGGAACACCAGUGGCGAAGGCGACUUUCUGGUCUGUAACUGACACUGAGGCGCGAAAGCGUGGGGAGCAAACAGGAUUAGAUACCUUUGGUAGUCCA